RNAcentral lists this ribosomal RNA (497 nucleotides) under uncultured bacterium. RNAcentral's name for it is "partial 16S ribosomal RNA". It matches the Rfam family "Bacterial small subunit ribosomal RNA", at positions 28 to 507 of the family's 1533-position model. The record is from RNAcentral.
GACGAACGCUGGCGGCGUGCUUAACACAUGCAAGUCGAACGGACAGACCAUGCGCUUGUUCCUUUCUCGUUUGCGGCAGACGUGUGUGUAACAUGUGUAUCCCCUCCCUGUAUUUUGGAUAUAUUUUCGGGACUCCGGCGCUAAUCCCGUAUAAUCUCUUGCUCCAUAUUGUUCAUUAGAGAGUUUCGGCUUUUCUGUAACUUCUAGAUGGAUCCCCGCUGCAUUAGCUAGUUGUUAAGGUACCGGUCUACCACGGCAACGAUGCGUAGCCGAGCUGAGAGGGUGAUAGGCCACACUGGAACUGAGACACGGUCCAGACGCCUAAGGGAGGCAGCAGUAGGGAAUCUGCCGCAAUGGGCGAAAGCAUGACGGAGCAACGCCGCGUGAGUGGUGAAGGUCUUCGGAUCGUAAAACUCUGUUAUUAGGGAAGAACAAAUGUGUAAGUAACUAUGCACGUCUUGACGGUACCUAAUCAGAAAGCCACGGCUAACUACGUG